RNAcentral lists this long non-coding RNA (861 nucleotides) under Homo sapiens (human). RNAcentral describes it as "HSALNT0125990". The record is from RNAcentral. Lineage: Eukaryota; Metazoa; Chordata; Mammalia; Primates; Hominidae.
AUCCUGGCCUGGCCUGUGUCACCGGAGGGGGUUGUGUGCGUUUGUGUCUUUGUGCGGAUCAACGCUCUCGGGCCUGAGGCCGUGCCCUGGGUGGAUCCGAGUGAUGGCCCAGGAGGUGGUCUGGGCACCGAAGAAUCGCGCUGGCCCUGACCGCAUGCCCCAGCCUUCCUGGGGUUUGUGAGGAGCUCUGAAGAACAGCAAAACACAGUAGUCCCAAAAAAGAGAGUAAGAGAGAGCAGCCCAUCUAAUAGAGUGUCCCGGAGGCCAGCGCCAGCGGGUGCUGUAAGGAGCCCGGCGGCGGCAGGUGGGAAUUGAUUGAGCUGGCUGCACUUGUGUACCAGGAUGCAGAGUUCUCCAGCUCAGAGAGGCCAGAAUCUGACUGCAGCUCUUGGCGGCGACUCGAACAUUCUUUAUGCUUCCGUAGGCCCCAGCUGGGUUGGAGGAGUAAAAGGAAUGGGACAAUCCAGGAAGACUUCUCACGUACAAUAGCGCCCCCCACCUCGCGACCCUUCGGUGGCCGUGGCCUGAAGCUCCCGUAGGCUCAGGGCACGACCCUUCAGUUUCUCCGCUCCAGGCGACGUUCUCAGCCUUUUCUUAGCCUGAGACCACCGCGAGAACACCAGGCCUUGCUCACCCCCGAGGAGGCUCUACAUUGUUAAGAAAACCAGAUAGCUGCUCUGGGCUGCCUAGGCCGCCCUAGAAAUAACCCUCCGCUUGCUUUCAACCCGCGAAAUUGGCCCCACAGCUCCGGAGGCCCGCUACGGGGUGGGGGCGGGGGGCGCGGUUAGUGGGAGGUAUCUCCAGACCGCUGAUGAAUACCAUCCCCACCGUCUCAAGGCCUGACUCACCGAGUUAAAGCAU